This 404-nucleotide ribosomal RNA is filed under the name uncultured bacterium. RNAcentral's name for it is "partial 16S ribosomal RNA". It matches the Rfam family "Bacterial small subunit ribosomal RNA", at positions 338 to 734 of the family's 1533-position model. The record is from RNAcentral.
CCUACGGGUGGCAGCAGUGGGGAAUAUUGCACAAUGGGCGCAAGCCUGAUGCAGCAAUGCCGCGUGUAUGAAGAAGGCCUUCGGGUUGUAAAGUACUUUCGGUGGGGAGGAAAGCAUUUAAGUUAAUACCUUUGCUCAUUGACGUUACCUACAGAAGAAGCACCGGCUAACUACGUGCCAGCAGCCGCGGUAAUACGGAGGUGGCAAGCGUUAACCGGAAUUACUGGGCGUAAAGGGAACGCAGGCGGUUUGUUAAGUCAGAUGUGAAAGCCUUGGGCUUAACCUGGGUAGUGCAUGUGAUACUGGGAAGCUUGAGUGCCGUAGAGGGGGGUAGAACUCCAUGUGUAGCGGUGAAAUGCGUAGAGAUGUGGAGGAAUACCGGUGGCGAAGGCGGCUCUCUGGAC